RNAcentral lists this ribosomal RNA (497 nucleotides) under uncultured bacterium. RNAcentral's name for it is "partial 16S ribosomal RNA". It matches the Rfam family "Bacterial small subunit ribosomal RNA", at positions 28 to 507 of the family's 1533-position model. The record is from RNAcentral.
GAUGAACGCUGGCGGCGUGCCUAAUACAUGCAAGUCGAGCGAACGGACGAGAAGCUUGCUUCUCUGAUGUUAGCGGCGGACGGGUGAGUAACACGUGGAUAACCUACCUAUAAGACUGGGAUAACUUCGGGAAACCGGAGCUAGUACCGGAUAAUAUUUUGAACCGCAUGGUUCAAAAGUGAAAGACGGUCUUGCUGCCACUUAUAGAUGGAUCCGCGCUGCAUUAGCUAGUUGGUAAGGUAACGGCUUACCAAGGCAACGAUGCAUAGCCGACCUGAGAGGGUGAUCGGCCACACUGGAACUGAGACACGGUCCAGACUCCUACGGGAGGCAGCAGUAGGGAAUCUUCCGCAAUGGGCGAAAGCCUGACGGAGCAACGCCGCGUGAGUGAUGAAGGUCUUCGGAUCGUAAAACUCUGUUAUUAGGGAAGAACAUAUGUGUAAGUAACUGUGCACAUCUUGACGGUACCUAAUCAGAAAGCCACGGCUAACUACGUG